This 2611-nucleotide long non-coding RNA is filed under the name Gossypium barbadense (sea-island cotton). RNAcentral's name for it is "long non-coding RNA (GBAR_LNC003686)". The record is from RNAcentral. Lineage: Eukaryota; Viridiplantae; Streptophyta; Magnoliopsida; Malvales; Malvaceae.
UUUCUUCAUCUUUCUCAGCCAGAAACGCCGUAGCUGGUCUCCUAUGCUGGUUUUUUAUAUUUUUGCACCAUGUAAGUUCAAUUUUUACUUUUUCUUAGUAAUUUUUAUGUUUUUGUGACUUUUAUAAUUAGGUCCAAUCAUCUAAUUCAUUAGUUUUUGAUUUGGUGGAUGAAAUUGGAAGUUCCCCUGGCUGAGUAAGGGCAGUUUAUGAUGAAUUAUUAUGAAAUUGAAGUUCUAAUUUCAUAUUAAGGUUGUUUUAUUAAGUCAUUUUGAUAGAAAAUGGUAUUUAGGGCCUAAUUGUGAAAACAAUUGUGAAUUAGAUGUUGGUGUUGAAAUUCAGAAUAUCAAAGGUUGUGAAAUAGUUUAUAAUGAUAAAAUAAAGUGUUAAUUGAGAAAAAUUAGUUCAAUUUAUGGGUGAAUUGAGUAGGGACUAAAUUGUAAAAGCUGUAAAUUUUGGGGUAAAAGUACAAUUUUGAAAUUUAAACAGCAUAAAUUGUGAAGUGAAAUAGAAAUCAAAUAAAUGCUAAUGAGUAGAAAUAAUUUAUAUUAUAGAUCAAGAGAAACGAGAUUCAAGUCGUGAUCGAGGGAAAAAUAAAGUUUACGAGGAAUAAGCUCGAUUGCUAAUAUUUUAUAUCGAGGUAAGUUCAUAUGAUUUUUAAUAAUGCAAUGUGUAAUUUAAUGUCUUGAAAUGAAAAUUUCAUGAAUGAUAUAGUAUAUUAUUGCAUAUAAAAUGUCAUUAAACUGUGAUAAUUGUAAAAUGAUAUUUGAAUAAAAGUACAAAUUAAAUGGAACAACGGACUUGAGUACUUUCAUUCAGUGGCUAAGACGAAUUGACGGAAAAGACCAUGGUUGGACCAUGGUAGCAUGUGAAAUGUGAUUUCCGUAUAAGACCAUAGCUGGGCUAUGGCUUCGGAGAAAUGUGAUAUGUGCUUCCGUAUAAGACCAUAUCCGGGAUAUGGCAUCGGUGUGAUAUGUGCUACUGUAUAAGACCAUAUCUGGGAUAUGGCAUCAGUGUGAUAUAUGAUCCGUGUAAGACCAUGACUGGGCUAUGACCUCGGUAUGUGAUUUGUGACUAUGUGCAAGACCACAGUUUUACUAUGGCAUUGUGAUAAUGAGGUACUCAAUUCCGUAAUCGUUCCCUAAUUUGAUUAUGAACGAAAAUGUAAAAUGGCCCGAAAAGAUUAAGAAUUGGUGAAUACUAUGAAAAUGACACGAUUUGGAAUAAGUUCUUGAUACUUCAUGACAUUGAGAUUAUGGAUCUAUGCUUAUGAAGCAUAAUUAUGUGUUCUUACCAUGAUGGAUGAAAUGAUAUUGUAUGGAUUUAGUGAAUAAUAGUGGUGAAUGAAUAAAUAUGGCCUUGGCAGUUUUGGGUUACUGCAGUAGUGUAUAUUUUGAAAUUCACCAUAAAUUGUGGAAAUUGAGUUAAGGGCUGAAUAAAAUAUGAGAUUAAAGCCUGAUGAGUUUAGUUUCAUAUAGAGGAAACGGUGCAUGCAAUUGGAUUUUAUGUUAUAAGAUAUUUAAAUUGUUGUGAGACAGAUUUUGAAUGAUUCAAGAUCCCCUGUUCUGAUUUUAGAAAAUCAUUAGAAAUUAUAAUAAAAUAAUUAUGAGUUUUAAUUUAUAUAUUUAAAAUCCUUAUCGAGUCUAUUUUCAAGAGGGAUAGACGGGAACAUCAUCCAAGUCCCGAAUUAUGAGAUAAAUAAUUUUUAGUUAAGAGAGAUCAGAACUGUUGGAUAGCGAAACAGGGGAAACUUUAAUGAAUAAACUGUACUAAAUGGCUAAACUAAAAAUUCUGGAAAUUUUAUGGCAGAAAGGUAUAUGAAUCUAGUUUCAAGGAAAAUUAACGGAACUUAAUUUGAAGUUUCGUAGCUCCAAAAAUAAAUUAUUUAGUAAAUGUAUCUCGAUAAAAUAGUUUAAGCUGAGUAUGUAUAAUUGUACAAUUGUGGUGUUUUAUCUUAAAAGCAUGUUGGUAAUUGCUUAUUAAUUUCAUUUGGACUUACUAAGCAUUUAUGCUUACUCCCUCCUUUUCAUUCCUUGUAGUUUUGAUAAGCCAGCUCGGAAAUCGGGAACGGUCGGAGGCCCACUCACACUAUCCGUAUACCAUCUUGGCGUAAUGGCUUGUAUAUUUUGAGUAUGGCAUGUAUAGCAUUAUAAUCAUUUUGUAUAUAUGGUCUUAUGAUAUGGAUAUUGAGUGGUAUGGAAAUGUUUGGUAAUGAUUAGCCAUUGGAAUGGCUAAUCAUGAUCAUAUUUGGUGUUAUAUAUGUAAAUUGCUAGCUAAUCCAUGGAAACCAUGAAAUAGGCAAAAUUUACCAUAAAAUAGAUCCAGACAGCAGCAGUGAUGUGAGUUUGAAAAAUCAUUAAAAAUAGUAGAGAUACAAUUAGAUGAUGAAUAAAAUAUGGAAUUGAAGAAUUAUUAGUCUAUUUUCAUAUGGAUGGAACAAAACAGGUAUAUGAGUUAUAUUUUAUGAGAAGUUUAAAUUUUUGUGAAACAGGGCCAGAGCGAUUUCUGGAUCCCUAUUCUGACUUUGGAAAUUCACCAUAAAUUGUACAAUGAUAAUUAGAAGUUAUGCUUUAUAUGUAUAGAUUCCUUAUUGAGUCUAGUUUUAUUAGACAC